RNAcentral lists this ribosomal RNA (562 nucleotides) under uncultured bacterium. RNAcentral describes it as "partial 16S ribosomal RNA". It matches the Rfam family "Bacterial small subunit ribosomal RNA", at positions 338 to 916 of the family's 1533-position model. The record is from RNAcentral.
CCUACGGGAGGCAGCAGUGGGGAAUUUUGCGCAAUGGGGGGAACCCUGACGCAGCGACGCCGCGUGGGUGAUGAAGGCCUUCGAGUUGUAAAGCCCUGUUGGGGGGGAAGAUAAUGACGGUACCCCCUGAGGAAGCCCCGGCUAACUACGUGCCAGCAGCCGCGGUAAGACGUAGGGGGCGAGCGUUGUCCGGAAUUACUGGGCGUAAAGGGCGUGUAGGCGGCCUUUCAAGUCGGCUGUGAAAUACCCCGGCUCAACCGGGGGGGUGCAGUCGAAACUGGGGGGCUUGAGUGCAGGAGAGGAGGGUGGAAUUCCCGGUGGAGCGGUGAUAUGCGUAGAUAUCGGGAGGAACACCGGUGGCGAAGGCGACCUUCUGGCCUGUUACUGACGCUGAGGCGCGAAAGCCGGGGGAGCAAACAGGAUUAGAUACCCUGGUAGUCCCGGCCGUAAACGCUGGGUACUAGGUGUAGGGGGCUUUGAUGCCUUCUGUGCCGUAGUUAACGCAUUAAGUACCCCGCCUGGGGAGUACGAUCGCAAGGUUGAAACUCAAAUGAAUUGACGG